RNAcentral lists this ribosomal RNA (434 nucleotides) under uncultured Lachnospiraceae bacterium. RNAcentral's name for it is "partial 16S ribosomal RNA". It matches the Rfam family "Bacterial small subunit ribosomal RNA", at positions 341 to 792 of the family's 1533-position model. The record is from RNAcentral. Lineage: Bacteria; Bacillati; Bacillota; Clostridia; Lachnospirales; Lachnospiraceae.
ACGGAAGGCAGCAGUGGGGAAUAUUGGGCAAUGGGGGAAACCCUGAUCCAGCGACGCCGCGUGAGUGAAGAAGUAUUUCGGUAUGUAAAGCUCUAUCAGCAAGGAAGAAAAUGACGGUACUUGACUAAGAAGCUCCGGCUAAAUACGUGCCAGCAGCCGCGGUAAUACGUAUGGAGCAAGCGUUAUCCGGAUUUACUGGGUGUAAAGGGAGCGUAGACGGCAAAGCAAGUCUGAAGUGAAAUCCCGGGGCUCAACCCCGGAACUGCUUUGGAAACUGUUUAGCUAGAGUGCAGGAGAGGUAAGCGGAAUUCCUAGUGUAGCGGUGAAAUGCGUAGAUAUUAGGAGGAACACCAGUGGCGAAGGCGGCUUACUGGACUGUAACUGACGUUGAGGCUCGAAAGCGUGGGGAGUAAACAGGAUUAGAUACCCUGGUA